GAUGAAGAACGUAGCGAAAUGCGAUAAGUAAUGUGAAUUGCAGAAUUCAGUGAAUCAUCGAAUCUUUGAACGCACAUUGCGCCCGCCAGUAUUCUGGCGGGCAUGCCUGUUCGAGCGUCAUUACAACCCUCAGGCCCCCGGGCCUGGCGUUGGGGAUCGGCGGAGCCCCCCGUGGGCACACGCCGUCCCCCAAAUACAGUGGCGGUCCCGCCGCAGCUUCCAUCGCGUAGUAGCUAACACCUCGCGACUGGAGAGCGGCGCGGCCACGCCGUAAAACACCCAACUUCUGAAUGUUGACCUCGAAUCAGGUAGGAAUACCCGCUGAACUUAAGCAUAUCAAUAAGCGGAGGA
This 351-nucleotide unclassified non-coding RNA is filed under the name soil metagenome. Its description in RNAcentral is "partial contains 5.8S ribosomal RNA, internal transcribed spacer 2, and large subunit ribosomal RNA". The stretch from base 1 to 120 matches the Rfam family "5.8S ribosomal RNA", at positions 35 to 154 of the family's 154-position model. The record is from RNAcentral.